CCAUAGCUAGGGUUUGUUUCAAGCUUCCAAGCUCCAUAGUAAGUGAUUCCAAGCCCCGUUUUUAAUGAUUUUUACGUUUUUGAGAUCGCGGUAGCUCGAUUAAGCUUAUGCUAACAAUAAUUCAACUUAGGGUUCAUAUUUAGAAAAAUACCCAUAGGUGAAAUUUGUGUAUUUUGAUGUUUUAUGAUAGAAUAUGGGGUUUUAAAUUAUGUUAGACAACUUGUGCUACUCGGUUUUGAGUGAAAACGAGUAAAAGGGCUUAAUCGGUAAAAAUACCUAAUAGUCAUAAGUACAUGUUAGAGUGAGAAUUUGAUGUUUCCAUAGAAGAGAAAAGUGAUCAGCAUGUUGUAAAACAUAAGAAUAAGGAAUAAAGUUUAAUACGGAGCCUAGGGGCAAAAAUGUAAAUAUGCAAAAGUUUAGGGGCAAAAUUGUAAUUUUUCCAAAAUUUGAGUUAAGGAUUAAUUUGAUAAUUUGAGUAUUAAAUGAGCUAAAUGUGUUAUUUUAGAUCAACAAAGACGUGGAAUCGACCUCAAUCGAGGAAAAGAAAAGAUUGUGGACUAAAUUGCAAAAUCCUUGUAUUUUGGUACCAAGUUUUGGACAAGCCAGCUCAGGAGUCGUGAUAGGUCGAAGGCUCAGUCACACUAUCCGGAAGACUUUUGGUAAAUGGCUUGUAAAUUUAAGUAUGACAUGUAUAGCAAUAUACCUAUUUUGUGUAAAUGAUCUUAUGGUAUGGUUGUGGAAUGGUUGAGGAAAUGCUUGAUAAUGAUAAAUUAUGAAAAUGGUUAGUGUAGAUUAUGUUUGAUGUUAAGGAAAACUAUUAAGAUACUUAGUGCAUAAAAACUCAUAAAAAGGAUGAAAUUUGCCAUAAAUAGAAUACUGCAGCAACACUGACGCGAGUUUGAAAAUUUAUUAAAAAUCAUAGAAAUUUAAUUUGGUCAUGGAAUACAUAUCAAAUUGAAGCUUAUUAUGUCUAGUUUAACAUGAAACAAAUGAAACAGGUAAAGGAAUUAUAUGUUAGAAGAUAUUUGAAUUUUAGUGAAACAGGGUCAUAGCAGUUUUUGAAUCCCCUAUUCCAAGUUUAUAAAUUAAUUAUAAAUUAUAAAGAUAUAAUUAGGUUGUAUAUUUUAUAUCCUCAGAAUCCUUAUUGAGUCUAGUUUUAGUAGAAACAAAUCUCAUAGUCAUAUGAAUUUUUUACAGAGAGAAAUGUGGUUCGUAGUAAACAGAGGUCAGACCAGUCGAGUCCUGAAACAGGGGUAACUUUAACUAAUAAACUGUACUAAUUGGCCCAACCAAAAAUUCUAGAAAAAAUUUAGUAGAUAGGUAUAUGAGUCUAGAUUCAGGGAAAAUUUCUGGAUCUUUAUUUCGAGUUUCGUAACUCGAGAUAUGAUUUUUCUUGUGACUGUGACGCAAGUAGCUUAAAAGCUGUGAAUGUAGAAACAAUAAUCCAAAGUUCUAAAAAUGUUAAACUAAGCUUAGUAACACCUCAUACUCGACUCCGGCGAUGGUCUCGGGCGUGGGGGUGUUACAUUUAGUGGUAUCAGAGCAGGUUUAGUUGGUUCUUGGAAUACGUGUUGUAUGUACGAAUUUUGCUAUACAUGCCAUAUGUAUAAAUUGUGAUAGUGUGAUGACUUCUGACCUUUUUUAAAUGAUUUUUUUAUAGUAAAUGGAUCCCGAUCCAGCUGUGGCAGAUGAAGUAGAGAGUAAUGCGCCAGUUCCGGCUGAAGGAGCAGCGCCGACUGAAAAUCCGCCUUCUACUGUUGGUCAGGGAGGAGGAGAAAGGGGUCGGGAAGCCUUUCUCCAAAUGAUGAGUGCAUGGUACACUGAGUUCGUUCGUACGAACCCGAAUGUACAACCUCCCCCACCUCCCCCAAUUCCUCAACCUGUACCCCCGAUGCCUCAAGGUAUGGAUCUGAUGAAAUUUCAUAGAACUCCAGUUGAUAGAAUUCGCAAGCAAGGGGCCGAAGAAUUUAAAGCAAAUAUUGAUGAUGAUGUCGAGAGAGCAGAGUUUUGGCUUGAAAAUUCAAUCCGGGUAUUUGAGGAAUUAUCUUGUACACCUGAAGAAUGUUUGAAAUGUGCUACAUCUUUGUUGAGAGAUUCAGCCUAUAAUUGGUGGAUGACUUUGAUUUUAGUGGUACCGAAAGAGAGGGUAACCUGGGAAUUCUUUCAAGAAGAGUUUUGGAAGAAAUAUAUUAGUGAAAGAUUUAUUGAUCAUAAAUGUAAAGAGUUUCUUGAGCUGAAGCAAGGUAAUAUGACAGUCUCAGAAUAUGAAGGAGAGUUUGUUCGAUUAAGUAAGUAUGCCAGGGAAUAUGUUCCUGCAGAAGCCAAGAUGUGCCGACGAUUUGAAGACGGGCUUAACGAAGACAUUAAGGUAUUUGUUGGGAUCCUUGAAUUAAAAGAAAUGGUAGUAUUGGUUGAUCGAGCUUGUAAGGCCGAAGAAUUACUUAAAGAAAAGAAAAAGGUAGAGGCUGAGACUAGAAAUUGGAAGUAAAGACCGAUGAGCGGUUCAUUUUCACAGCAACCUGGAAAGUCAAGGAAUAUGAAUCCUCGUUCCCAAGCUUCAGCUGGGCAAUCAUAUGGGAAUUAUAGGAAGCAAAAUGUGGGUCCUAAAUCCCAGACUACUUCGAUAGCCAGUGUAGGGAACUCGAGAUUUGUUAAACCUGAGUGCCAGCGGUGUGGUAGAAAUCAUUUUGGUCCGUGUAGAGCAAAUGAAUGUUUUCGAUGUGGUUCUCCGGAUCAUUUUAUUAGAGACUGCCCAGAGAGAGCUGAAAAAGAAAAAUUUCAGAAUACAAAAACAAGUGGGGCGGAUUCGAGAGGAAGAUAUCCAAGAAAAGCUGGGAGCGAAGCAAGUAGUAAGAAUGAAGCCAGGGAUGCACCAGUUAGACCUGAAGGAAGGGCUCCAGCUAGAACUUAUGCUAUUAAAGCGCGUGAAGAUGCUUCCUCACUUGAUGUGAUUACCGGUACAUUUUCCCUCUAUAAUGUUAAUGUUAUUGCUUUGAUUGAUCCCGGUUCUACUCAUUCAUAUGUGUGCAUGAAAUAGGUGUCUAGUAUGAAUAUACCUAUUGAGAACACAGAAUUUAUGAUUAGAGUGUCGAAUCCGUUAGGUAAAUGUGUGACUAUCGAUAAAGUAUGUAAGAAAUGUCCUUUAAUGAUUCGGGAUCAUUACUUUCCGGCCAACUUGAUGUUGUUGCCGUUUGAUGAGUUUGAUGUUAUUUUGGGUAUGGAUUGGUUGACAUUGCAUGAUGCUAAAAUAAAUUGCAAAGAAAAGAUUAUAGAAUUAAAGUGUGGAAAUGGUGAAACUCUGCGGGUUGAAUCAGAUAAAUCAGAGGCAUUGCCUAGUGUGGUUUCUUCAAUGUCGGCUCAAAGAUAUCUGAGAAAGGGUUAUGAAGCUUAUUUGGCGUAUGUAAUUAAUACAAAAGAAGUUGAAAAGAAAGUUGAAUCAGUGCCGGUUGUGUGUGAAUUUGCGGACGUAUUUCCAGAAGAAUUGCCGGGUUUGCCUCCAGUCAGGAAAGUAGAAUUUGGUAUUGAUUUGAUACCGGGAACAGCUCCGAUUUCGAUUGCUCCGUAUAGAAUGGCACCAGCAGAGUUGAAUGAACUAAAGUCGCAGUUGCAAGAGUUGACUGAUAAAGGUUUUCUGAGACCGAGUUUUUCACCUUGGGGUGCUCCCAUGUUAUUUGUGAAAAAGAAGGAUGGUUUUAUGAGGUUGUGUGUUGAUUAUUGGCAGUUAAACAAGGUGACAAUCAAAAACAAGUAUCCGUUGCCAAGAAUUGAUGAUUUGUUUGAUCAACUAAAAGGAGCGACAUGGUUUUCAAAGAUUGACUUGAGAUCUGGGUAUUACCAAUUGCGGGUAAAAGAGUCGGAUGUGCCUAAAACUGCUUUUAGAACAAGGUAUGGUCAUUAUGAAUUUUUAGUUAUGCCAUUCGGAUUGACAAAUGCUCCUGCUGUGUUUAUGGAUUUAAUGAAUCGCAUAUUUCGGCCAUACUUGGACAGAUUUGUUGUGGUGUUUAUAGAUGAUAUUUUAAUUUAUUCAAAAGAUGAGACAGAGCAUGCUGAGCAUUUGAGGAUAGUUUUGCAAACUUUGAGAGAUAAGCAGAUGUAUGCUAAGUUUAGUAAAAGUGAAUUUUGGCUCCGGGAAGUUGGAUUUUUGGGUUAUAUUGUUUCAGGUGAUGGUAUACGGGUUGAUCCUAGUAAAAUUUCAGCCAUUGUUGAUUGGAAACCACCGAAAAAUGUAACUGAAGUUAGAAGUUUCUUGGGGCUAGCUGGGUAUUAUCGGCGGUUUGUAAAUGGAUUUUCUAUAAUUGCGGCUCCUAUAAGUAGAUUACUCCGAAAGGAUGUUAAAUUUGAAUGGACGGAAGAAUGUCAACAGAGUUUUGAAGAAUUGAAAAAGUUAUUAACAGAGGCACCAGUGUUAGUACAGCCCGAAUCAGGUAAAGAAUUUGUGGUGUAUAGUGAUGCUUCUCUAAAUGGUUUGGGGUGUGUGCUCAUGCAGGAAGGAAAAGUGGUGGCAUAUGCUUCGAGGCAGUUAAAACCUCAUGAGAGGAAUUAUCCUACUCACGAUUUGGAAUUGGCUGCAGUGGUGUUGCUUUGAAAAUUUGGCGACAUUAUUUGUAUGGUGAAAAAUGUCGGGUAUAUACCGACCACAAAAGUCUUAAGUACUUGAUGUCACCAAAAGACUUGAAUUUGAGACAACGAAGAUGGUUGGAGUUGUUGAAAGAUUACGAGCUUGUUAUUGAUUAUCAUCAGGGAAAAGCGAAUGUGGUUGCUGAUGCUUUGAACAGAAAGUUGUUGUUUGCUUUGAGAGUUAUGAACACUCAGUUGAAAGUGUCAGAUGAUGGUUCGAUUCUAGCAGAGUUAAGAGCAAAACCGAUGUUUUUGCAAGAGAUUUCUGAAGCUCAGAAAGAUGAUCAAGAUUUGCAAGCCAAGAGAAAACAGUGCGAAGUUGAUACAGAGUCAGAUUUCAAAAUUGGUUCUGAUGGGUGCUUAAUGUUUAAAGAUCGGAUUUGUGUACCGAAGAAUGAGGAAUUGAUUCAAAAGAUCCUACAGGAAACACAUAGUGGUUAUUUCUCGAUUCAUCCGGGUAGUACGAAAAUGUAUAAUGACUUGAAGAAAAUGUAUUGGUGGAAUGGAAUGAAAAGAGAUAUAUCAGAGUUUGUGUCCAAAUGCUUAAUUUGUCAACAGGUGAAAGCUGAACACCAAGUGCCUUCGGGAUUACUUCAGCCUAUUAUGGUUCAUGAAUGGAAAUGGGAUCGGAUUACUACGGAUUUUGUUUCAGGAUUGCCAUUGACUCCAGGAAAGAAAGAUGCCAUCUGGGCAAUAGUUGACAGAUUAACUAAGUCGGCUCAUUUUAUCCCGGUAUGUAUGGAUUAUUCUCUUAACAAGCUGGCUGAACUAUAUAUUAGAGAAAUUGUUAGAUUACACGGAAUACCAUUGUCGAUUAUUUCAGAUAGAGAUCCAAGGUUUACCUCGCGGUUUUGGCAAAAGUUGCAAGACGCGUUAGGUACAAAGAUAAAUUUCAGUACUGCUUUUCAUCCACAAACUGAUGGACAAUCAAAGAGAGUAAUUCAGAUUCUUGAAGACAUGCUCAGAUGUUGUGUAUUGGAAUUUCAAGGAAGUUGGGAAAGAUAUUUGCCGUUGGUAGAAUUUGCUUACAACAAUAGUUAUCAGACGAACUUGAAAAUGGCACCUUAUGAAGCAUUGUAUGGUCGUAAGUGUCGAACGCCUUUGUAUUGGACUGAACUCAAGGAAAAUCAGAUUUAUGGAGUUGAUCUAAUAAAAGAAACUGAAGAAAAAGUGAAGGUAAUUCGAGAUUGUUUGAAAGCUGCUUCAGAUAGAAAGAAAUCUUAUGCAGAUUUAAAACGAAAGGACAUUGAAUUUCAAGUUGGUGAUAAAGUAUUUUUAAAGGUGUCUCCGUGGAAGAAAGUCCUUAGAUUUGGACGGAAGGGCAAAUUAAGUCCGCGUUUUAUUGGACCGUAUGAAAUAAUUGAAAAAGUUGGACCGGUAGCAUAUCGGCUAGCGUUACCACCCGAAUUAGAGAAGAUUCAUGAUGUGUUUCACGUAUCUAUGUUACGCCGGUAUCGUUCGGAUCCUUCACAUAUAAUUUCACCGACAGAAAUUGAACUGCGACCGGAUAUGACUUAUGAAGAAGAACCGAUUAAGAUUUUAGCUCGAGAAGUCAAACAACUAAGAAAUAAAAGUGUUGCACUUGUGAAAGUGUUGUGGCAAAAGCAUGGGGUAGAAGAAUGCCUAAAGUGCUUAAAUUGAAAGUAGGGACUAAAUCGAAUAAGUUGUAAAACUUGCAUUCUAGAAGUUUUUAGUAUGAAAUUGUUUUGGAAUAUUAAUGAGGAGGUCUUAAAUAACAAUUUGACCAAUUUUAAGUUCAUGGACAAAAUUAGGGCAUGGAAGGAAUUUUUGGAAAGUUUAGUAGUAAGGGUAUUUUGGUCAUUUAGUUAUUAAAAUGAAUUAAAAACAAAAUUAAAAGCCAAUUUUUGUCCAUCUUCUUCAUUAGGCCGAAAUUUUAAGGGUUCUCCAUAGCUAGGGUUUGUUUCAAGCUUCCAAGCUCCAUAGUAAGUGAUUCCAAGCCCCGUUUUUAAUGAUUUUUACGUUUUUGAGAUCGCGGUAGCUCGAUUAAGCUUAUGCUAACAAUAAUUCAACUUAGGGUUCAUAUUUGGAAAAAUACCCAUAGGUGAAAUUUGUGUAUUUUGAUGUUUUAUGAUAGAAUAUGGGGUUUUAAAUUAUGUUAGACAACUUGUGCUACUCGGUUUUGAGUGAAAACGAGUAAAAGGGCUUAAUCAGUAAAAAUACCUAAUAGUCAUAAGUACAUGUUAGAGUGAGAAUUUGAUGUUGCCAUAGAAGAGAAAAGUGAUCAGCAUGUUGUAAAACAUAAGAAUAAGGAAUAAAGUUUAAUACGGAGCCUAGGGGCAAAAAUGUAAAUAUGCAAAAGUUUAGGGGCAAAAUUGUAAUUUUGCCAAAAUUUGAGUUAAGGGUUAAUUUGAUAAUUUGAGUAUUAAAUGAGCUAAAUGUGUUAUUUUAGAUCAAGAAAGACGUGGAAUCGACCUCAAUCGAGGAAAAAAAAGAUUGUGGACUAAAUUGCAAAAUCCUUGUAUUUUGGUACCAAGUUUUGGACAAGCCAGCUCAGGAGUCGGGAUAGGUCGAAGGCUCAGUCACACUAUCCGGAAGACUUUUGGUAAAUGGCUUGUAAAUUUAAGUAUGGCAUGUAUAGCAAUAUACCUAUUUUGUGUAAAUGAUCUUAUGGUAUGGUUGUGGAAUGGUUGAGGAAAUGCUUG
This 7280-nucleotide long non-coding RNA is filed under the name Gossypium barbadense (sea-island cotton). RNAcentral describes it as "long non-coding RNA (GBAR_LNC003067)". Lineage: Eukaryota; Viridiplantae; Streptophyta; Magnoliopsida; Malvales; Malvaceae. The record is from RNAcentral.